This 707-nucleotide ribosomal RNA is filed under the name Badhamia polycephala. RNAcentral's name for it is "Physarum polycephalum partial large subunit ribosomal RNA". It matches the Rfam family "Eukaryotic large subunit ribosomal RNA", at positions 2331 to 2985 of the family's 3401-position model. The record is from RNAcentral. Lineage: Eukaryota; Evosea; Eumycetozoa; Physariida; Physaraceae.
GAUUCCCACUGUCCCUACCUACUAUCUAGCGAAACCACAGCCAGGGAACGGGCUUGGCACAAUUAGCGGGGAAAGAAGACCCUGUUGAGCUUGACUCUGGCAUAGACGCGAGGUGAUUCUAAAGGUGUAGCAUAGGUGGGAGGGCCCAUGCCCGUCAAUGAAAUACCACCACUUUCGACAUCGCUUUGCUAAUGCUGUAACGAACGAACGGAACCGCGUCCCUCUCACCGUAAAAGGUGGGGGAAGGGAUAGGCAAUCCAAAUUCUAGCGCUUUCCGCGCUCAUACGACGAGUUGGCUCCCCUGGGUGAGUACCGUGGAACCACGAGCUGGGCUUCCGAGUCCGGCGAGUGCUGUUUCCGCGGGAACCAGAGACGGUCUUCUCGGCCUCUGUGGGCUUCAUGCCGGUACGUAAUUGCGUGUAGCAGACUAUCUAUGUUGGGGAGUUUGGCUGGGGCGGAAAACUGCUACACGGCAACGGCAGUCUCCUAAGGUCCACUCAGAGACGACAGAAACGUCUCGUAGAGCAUAAAGGCAAAAGUGGGCUUAACUCGCAUUUUCAGUAGUAAUGUGAAGCAAGAAAUUGCGGCUUAACGAUCCUUAGCGGCGGGUGCCAGCCCACGCUUGAGGUGAGAGAAAAGUUACCACAGGGAUUGAUACACACACACAACGGUAACUAAUACGUUAACGAGUAACUAUGACGGAACGA